This 2902-nucleotide ribosomal RNA is filed under the name Ralstonia solanacearum FJAT-1458. RNAcentral's name for it is "bacterial LSU rRNA". It matches the Rfam family "Bacterial large subunit ribosomal RNA". Lineage: Bacteria; Pseudomonadati; Pseudomonadota; Betaproteobacteria; Burkholderiales; Burkholderiaceae. The record is from RNAcentral.
UUAAGCGACUAAGCGUACACGGUGGAUGCCCUGGCAGUCAGAGGCGAUGAAGGACGUGCUAAUCUGCGAUAAGCGUCGGUGAGGUGAUAUGAACCGUUAUAACCGGCGAUUUCCGAAUGGGGAAACCCAGUGUGUUUCGACACACUAUCAUUAACUGAAUCCAUAGGUUAAUGAGGCGAACCGGGGGAACUGAAACAUCUAAGUACCCCGAGGAAAAGAAAUCAACCGAGAUUCCCCCAGUAGCGGCGAGCGAACGGGGAGGAGCCCAGAGCCUGAAUCAGUGUGUGUGUUAGUGGAAGCGUCUGGAAAGGCGUGCGAUACAGGGUGACAGCCCCGUACACAAAAAUGCACAUAUUGUGAGCUCGAUGAGUAGGGCGGGACACGUGGUAUCCUGUCUGAAUAUGGGGGGACCAUCCUCCAAGGCUAAAUACUCCUGACUGACCGAUAGUGAACCAGUACCGUGAGGGAAAGGCGAAAAGAACCCCGGCGAGGGGAGUGAAAAAGAACCUGAAACCGUGUACGUACAAGCAGUGGGAGCCUCUUAAUGGGGUGACUGCGUACCUUUUGUAUAAUGGGUCAGCGACUUAUAUUCUGUAGCAAGGUUAACCGAAUAGGGGAGCCGAAGGGAAACCGAGUCUUAACUGGGCGUUAAGUUGCAGGGUAUAGACCCGAAACCCGGUGAUCUAGCCAUGGGCAGGUUGAAGGUUGGGUAACACUAACUGGAGGACCGAACCGACUAAUGUUGAAAAAUUAGCGGAUGACUUGUGGCUGGGGGUGAAAGGCCAAUCAAACCGGGAGAUAGCUGGUUCUCCCCGAAAGCUAUUUAGGUAGCGCCUCGUGAAUUCAUCUCCGGGGGUAGAGCACUGUUUCGGCAAGGGGGUCAUCCCGACUUACCAACCCGAUGCAAACUGCGAAUACCGGAGAAUGUUAUCACGGGAGACACACGGCGGGUGCUAACGUCCGUCGUGAAGAGGGAAACAACCCAGACCGCCAGCUAAGGUCCCAAAGUCAUGGUUAAGUGGGAAACGAUGUGGGAAGGCCCAGACAGCCAGGAUGUUGGCUUAGAAGCAGCCAUCAUUUAAAGAAAGCGUAAUAGCUCACUGGUCGAGUCGGCCUGCGCGGAAGAUGUAACGGGGCUAAACCAUGCACCGAAGCUGCGGCAGCGACACUAUGUGUUGUUGGGUAGGGGAGCGUUCUGUAAGCCUGUGAAGGUGGCCUGUGAGGGUUGCUGGAGGUAUCAGAAGUGCGAAUGCUGACAUAAGUAACGAUAAAGCGGGUGAAAAGCCCGCUCGCCGGAAGACCAAGGGUUCCUGUCCAACGUUAAUCGGGGCAGGGUGAGUCGACCCCUAAGGCGAGGCCGAAAGGCGUAGUCGAUGGGAAACAGGUUAAUAUUCCUGUACUUGGUGUUACUGCGAAGGGGGGACGGAGAAGGCUAUGUUGGCCGGGCGACGGUUGUCCCGGUUUAAGCGUGUAGGCUGGUUUUCCAGGCAAAUCCGGAAAACCAAGGCUGAGGCGUGAUGACGAGGCACUACGGUGCUGAAGCGACAAAUGCCCUGCUUCCAGGAAAAGCCUCUAAGCAUCAGGUAACAUCAAAUCGUACCCAAAACCGACACAGGUGGUCAGGUAGAGAAUACCAAGGCGCUUGAGAGAACUCGGGUGAAGGAACUAGGCAAAAUGGUGCCGUAACUUCGGGAGAAGGCACGCUGAUAUGUAGGUGAAGCGACUUGCUCGUGGAGCUGAAAUCAGUCGAAGAUACCAGCUGGCUGCAACUGUUUAUUAAAAACACAGCACUGUGCAAACACGAAAGUGGACGUAUACGGUGUGACGCCUGCCCGGUGCCGGAAGGUUAAUUGAUGGGGUUAGCGGUAACGCGAAGCUCUUGAUCGAAGCCCCGGUAAACGGCGGCCGUAACUAUAACGGUCCUAAGGUAGCGAAAUUCCUUGUCGGGUAAGUUCCGACCUGCACGAAUGGCGUAAUGAUGGCCAGGCUGUCUCCACCCGAGACUCAGUGAAAUUGAACUCGCUGUGAAGAUGCAGUGUACCCGCGGCAAGACGGAAAGACCCCGUGAACCUUUACUAUAGCUUGACACUGAACAUUGAGCCUUGAUGUGUAGGAUAGGUGGGAGGCUUUGAAGUGUGGACGCCAGUCUGCAUGGAGCCGACCUUGAAAUACCACCCUUUAAUGUUUGAUGUUCUAACGUUGGCCCGUAAUCCGGGUUGCGGACAGUGUCUGGUGGGUAGUUUGACUGGGGCGGUCUCCUCCUAAAGAGUAACGGAGGAGCACGAAGGUUGGCUAAUCCUGGUCGGACAUCAGGAGGUUAGUGCAAUGGCAUAAGCCAGCUUGACUGCGAGCGUGACGGCGCGAGCAGGUGCGAAAGCAGGUCAUAGUGAUCCGGUGGUUCUGAAUGGAAGGGCCAUCGCUCAACGGAUAAAAGGUACUCUGGGGAUAACAGGCUGAUACCGCCCAAGAGUUCAUAUCGACGGCGGUGUUUGGCACCUCGAUGUCGGCUCAUCACAUCCUGGGGCUGAAGUAGGUCCCAAGGGUAUGGCUGUUCGCCAUUUAAAGUGGUACGCGAGCUGGGUUUAGAACGUCGUGAGACAGUUCGGUCCCUAUCUGCCGUGGGCGCUGGAGAACUGAGGGGGGCUGCUCCUAGUACGAGAGGACCGGAGUGGACGCAUCACUGGUGUUCGGGUUGUCAUGCCAAUGGCACUGCCCGGUAGCUAAAUGCGGAAGAGAUAAGUGCUGAAAGCAUCUAAGCACGAAACUUGCCCCGAGAUGAGUUCUCCCUGACUCCUUGAGAGUCCUGAAGGAACGUUGAAGACGACGACGUUGAUAGGCCGGGUGUGUAAGCGCAGCGAUGCGUUGAGCUAACCGGUACUAAUGAACCGUGAGGCUUAACCUU